Molecule: ribosomal RNA, 253 nt
Filed under: uncultured bacterium
Lineage: Bacteria
Description: partial 16S ribosomal RNA
Rfam family: Bacterial small subunit ribosomal RNA
Source: RNAcentral
UACGUAGGGUGCGAGCGUUGUCCGGAAUUAUUGGGCGUAAAGGGCUCGUAGGCGGUUUGUCGCGUCGGGAGUGAAAACCUCGGGCUUAACUCGGGGCUUGCUUUCGAUACGGGCAGACUAGAGGUAUGCAGGGGAGAACGGAAUUCCUGGUGUAGCGGUGAAAUGCGCAGAUAUCAGGAGGAACACCGGUGGCGAAGGCGGUUCUCUGGGCAUGAUCUGACACUGAGGAGCGAAAGUGUGGGGAGCGAACAGG